GGGGACCUCAGGUCAGGCGG
Molecule: ribosomal RNA, 20 nt
Filed under: Poitea campanilla
Lineage: Eukaryota; Viridiplantae; Streptophyta; Magnoliopsida; Fabales; Fabaceae
Also listed under: 9 other names
Description: partial large subunit ribosomal RNA
Source: RNAcentral